This 492-nucleotide ribosomal RNA is filed under the name uncultured bacterium. RNAcentral's name for it is "partial 16S ribosomal RNA". It matches the Rfam family "Bacterial small subunit ribosomal RNA", at positions 29 to 507 of the family's 1533-position model. The record is from RNAcentral.
AGUGAACGCUGGCGGUAGGCCUAACACAUGCAAGUCGAACGGCAGCACAGUAAGAGCUUGCUCUUACGGGUGGCGAGUGGCGGACGGGUGAGGAAUACAUCGGAAUCUACUUUUUCGUGGGGGAUAACGUAGGGAAACUUACGCUAAUACCGCAUACGACCUACGGGUGAAAGCAGGGGAUCUUCGGACCUUGCGCGAUUGAAUGAGCCGAUGUCGGAUUAGCUAGUUGGCGGGGUAAAGGCCCACCAAGGCGACGAUCCGUAGCUGGUCUGAGAGGAUGGUCAGCCACACUGGAACUGAGACACGGUCCAGACUCCUACGGGAGGCAGCAGUGGGGAAUAUUGGACAAUGGGCGCAAGCCUGAUCCAGCCAUACCGCGUGGGUGAAGAAGGCCCUCGGGUUGUAAAGCCCUUUUGUUGGGAAAGAAAAGCAGCAGGUUAAUACCCCGCUGUUCUGACGGUACCCAAAGAAUAAGCACCGGCUAACUUCGUG